AUAAAGGCUGGCCAUCGCGGCCAGCUUCCCCGUUCGGGUCCCCUCCCACAUUGUGGGAGAUUUGUUCUUUCCCCUUUUGCAAUAAAUCUUGCUGCUGCUCACUUUUUAGGUCCACACUACCUUUAUGAGCUGUAACACUCAUGGUGAAGGUUUGCAGCUUCACUCCUGAAGCCAGCCAGACCAGGAACCCACCAUGAGAAACAAACAACUCUGGAGCCGCCAUAAGACUCACUGUGGCUUUAAGAGCUAUAAGACUCACUGUGAAGGUCUGCGGCUUCACCCCUGAAGUCAGCCAGACCACGAACCCACCGGGAGGAACAAACAACUCCGGACGCACCACCUUUAAGAGCUGUAACGCUCACUGCAAAGGUCUGCGGCUUCACUCAUGAAGUCGUGCAUAGACCACGAACCCAGUAGAAGGAAGAAACUCCUGACACAUCUGAACAUCUGAAGGAACAAACUCUGGACACACCGUCUUUAAGAAGUGUAACACUGCGAGGGUCCGCGGCUUCAUUCUUGAAGUCAGCGGCACCAGGAACCCAUUGGAGGGAACCAAUUCCGGACACACAGCCUCGUGGAAUGGUUCUGCACAGUGUGUGUGUGUUUCCCGUCAACCCUGUGCACACUAUUAAAAGAACACAAGCGCUAAGCCUCCCUCUCAGACCUACUGAAAUCGUUGAUGGAGUGGAGUCCUGGAUG
RNAcentral lists this long non-coding RNA (699 nucleotides) under Homo sapiens (human). Its description in RNAcentral is "HSALNT0148305". Lineage: Eukaryota; Metazoa; Chordata; Mammalia; Primates; Hominidae. The record is from RNAcentral.